RNAcentral lists this small nuclear RNA (160 nucleotides) under Suricata suricatta (meerkat). RNAcentral's name for it is "U4 spliceosomal RNA (ENSSSUG00005013685.1)". The stretch from base 1 to 127 matches the Rfam family "U4 spliceosomal RNA". Rfam says of the family: U4 small nuclear RNA (U4 snRNA) is a component of the major U2-dependent spliceosome. The structure of U4 snRNA from yeast and human has been reported. Lineage: Eukaryota; Metazoa; Chordata; Mammalia; Carnivora; Herpestidae. The record is from RNAcentral.
AGCUUUGCGCAGUGGCAGUAUUGUAGCCAAUGAGGUUUAUCCGAGGCGCGAUUAUUGCUAAUUAAAAUAUUACUGAUAAUAUUUUUAGUUGCCCUGUUGAAUUUACCAUUAUAACAUUCACUAUAAUAUGUAAUACUUACUAUGUGGUAUAUGCAUGUAU